Molecule: ribosomal RNA, 262 nt
Filed under: uncultured bacterium
Lineage: Bacteria
Description: partial 16S ribosomal RNA
Rfam family: Bacterial small subunit ribosomal RNA
Source: RNAcentral
GUCCACGCCCUAAACGAUGUCAACUGGUUGUCGGGGAAGUUUUCCUUGGUAACGAAGCUAACGCGUGAAGUUGACCGCCUGGGGAGUACGGCCGCAAGGUUAAAACUCAAAGGAAUUGACGGGGACCCGCACAAGCGGUGGAUUAUGUGGAUUAAUUCGAUGCAACGCGAAAACCUUACCUACCCUUGACAUGUGCGGAAGGGGGUAGAGAUACCUCGGUGCCCGAAAGGGAACCGCAACACAGGUGCUGCAUGGCUGUCGU